GACGAACGCUGGCGGCGCGCCUAACACAUGCAAGUCGAACGAGCGAGAGAGAGCUUGCUUUCUCGAGCGAGUGGCGAACGGGUGAGUAACGCGUGAGGAACCUGCAUCAAAGAGGGGGACAACAGUUGGAAACGACUGCUAAUACCGCAUAAGCCCACAGCUCGGCAUCGAGCAGAGGGAAAAGGAGCAAUCCGCUUUGAGAUGGCCUCGCGUCCGAUUAGCUAGUUGGUGAGGUAAUGGCCCACCAAGGCGACGAUCGGUAGCCGGACUGAGAGGUUGAACGGCCACAUUGGGACUGAGACACGGCCCAGACUCCUACGGGAGGCAGCAGUGGGGAAUAUUGCACAAUGGGGGAAACCCUGAUGCAGCGACGCCGCGUGGAGGAAGAAGGUCUUCGGAUUGUAAACUCCUGUUGUUGAGGAAGAUAAUGACGGUACUCAACAAGGAAGUGACGGCUAACUACGUGCCAGCAGCCGCGGUAAAACGUAGGUCACAAGCGUUGUCCGGAAUUACUGGGUGUAAAGGGAGCGCAGGCGGGAAGGCAAGUUGGAAGUGAAAUCCAUGGGCUCAACCCAUGAACUGCUUUCAAAACUGUUUUUCUUGAGUAGUGCAGAGGUAGGCGGAAUUCCCGGUGUAGCGGUGGAAUGCGUAGAUAUCGGGAGGAACACCAGUGGCGAAGGCGGCCUACUGGGCACCAACUGACGCUGAGGCUCGAAAGUGUGGGUAGCAAACAGGAUUAGAUACCCUGGUAGUCCACACUGUAAACGAUGAUUACUAGGUGUUGGAGGAUUGACCCCUUCAGUGCCGCAGUUAACACAAUAAGUAAUCCACCUGGGGAGUACGACCGCAAGGUUGAAACUCAAAGGAAUUGACGGGGGCCCGCACAAGCAGUGGAGUAUGUGGUUUAAUUCGACGCAACGCGAAGAACCUUACCAAGUCUUGACAUCCUGCGACGGUGCUGGAAACAGUACUUUCCUUCGGGACGCAGAGACAGGUGGUGCAUGGUUGUCGUCAGCUCGUGUCGUGAGAUGUUGGGUUAAGUCCCGCAACGAGCGCAACCCUUAUGGUCAGUUACUACGCAAGAGGACUUUGGCCAGACUGCCGUUGACAAAACGGAGGAAGGUGGGGAUGACGUCAAAUCAUCAUGCCCUUUAUGACUUGGGCUACACACGUACUACAAUGGCGUUAAACAAAGAGAAGCAAGACCGCGAGGUGGAGCAAAACUCAGAAACAACGUCCCAGUUCGGACUGCAGGCUGCAACUCGCCUGCACGAAGUCGGAAUUGCUAGUAAUCGCAGAUCAGCAUGCUGCGGUGAAUACGUUCCCGGGCCU
Molecule: ribosomal RNA, 1332 nt
Filed under: uncultured bacterium
Lineage: Bacteria
Description: bacterial SSU rRNA
Rfam family: Bacterial small subunit ribosomal RNA
Source: RNAcentral